AAUCAACGCUGGCGGCGUGCCUAACACAUGCAAGUCGAACGCGAGAGGGGCUUCGGCCCUGAUUGAGUGGCAAACGGGUGAGUAACGCGUGGGUGACCUACCUUCGAGUGGGGGAUAACGUUCCGAAAGGGACGCUAAUACCGCAUAACAUCCUGUCUUUGGACAGAUGGAGAUCAAAGCCGGGAUCGUAAGACCUGGCGCUUGAGGA
This 208-nucleotide ribosomal RNA is filed under the name uncultured bacterium. Its description in RNAcentral is "partial 16S ribosomal RNA". It matches the Rfam family "Bacterial small subunit ribosomal RNA", at positions 32 to 225 of the family's 1533-position model. The record is from RNAcentral.